RNAcentral lists this ribosomal RNA (694 nucleotides) under uncultured bacterium. Its description in RNAcentral is "bacterial SSU rRNA". It matches the Rfam family "Bacterial small subunit ribosomal RNA", at positions 144 to 825 of the family's 1533-position model. The record is from RNAcentral.
UAACUAUUGGAAACGAUAGCUAAUACCGCAUAACAGUAGAUAUUGCAUGAUAUCUGCUUGAAAGGUGCAAUUGCAUCACUACCAGAUGGACCUGCGUUGUAUUAGCUAGUUGGUGAGGUAACGGCUCACCAAGGCGACGAUACAUAGCCGACCUGAGAGGGUGAUCGGCCACACUGGGACUGAGACACGGCCCAGACUCCUACGGGAGGCAGCAGUAGGGAAUCUUCGGCAAUGGACGGAAGUCUGACCGAGCAACGCCGCGUGAGUGAAGAAGGUUUUCGGAUCGUAAAGCUCUGUUGUAAGUGAAGAACGAGUGUGAGAGUGGAAAGUUCACACUGUGACGGUAUCUUACCAGAAAGGGACGGCUAACUACGUGCCAGCAGCCGCGGUAAUACGUAGGUCCCGAGCGUUAUCCGGAUUUAUUGGGCGUAAAGCGAGCGCAGGCGGUUAGAUAAGUCUGAAGUUAAAGGCUGUGGCUUAACCAUAGUACGCUUUGGAAACUGUUUAACUUGAGUGCAAGAGGGGAGAGUGGAAUUCCAUGUGUAGCGGUGAAAUGCGUAGAUAUAUGGAGGAACACCGGUGGCGAAAGCGGCUCUCUGGCUUGUAACUGACGCUGAGGCUCGAAAGCGUGGGGGAGCAAACAGGAUUAGAUACCCUGGUAGUCCACGCCGUAAACGAUGAGUGCUAGGUGUUG